ACACGACUACAUUAGAUACCCGGGUAGUCCCAGCCGUAAACUAUGCGCGUUAGGUGUAUCGGUGACCACGAGUUACCGAGGUGCCGAAGGGAAACCGUGAAACGUGCCGCCUGGGAAGUACGGUCGCAAGGCUGAAACUUAAAGGAAUUGGCGGGGGAGCACCACAACAGGUGGAGCCUGCGGUUUAAUUGGACUCAACGCCGGGAAGCUCACCGGAUAGGACAGCAGAAUGAUUGCCGGGCUGAAGACCCUGCAUGACUAGCUG
RNAcentral lists this ribosomal RNA (265 nucleotides) under uncultured archaeon. RNAcentral's name for it is "partial 16S ribosomal RNA". It matches the Rfam family "Archaeal small subunit ribosomal RNA", at positions 717 to 982 of the family's 1478-position model. The record is from RNAcentral.